RNAcentral lists this ribosomal RNA (310 nucleotides) under uncultured bacterium. Its description in RNAcentral is "partial 16S ribosomal RNA". It matches the Rfam family "Bacterial small subunit ribosomal RNA", at positions 355 to 657 of the family's 1533-position model. The record is from RNAcentral.
UGGGGAAUAUUGCACAAUGGGCGCAAGCCUGAUGCAGCCAUGCCGCGUGUGUGAAGAAGGCCUUCGGGUUGUAAAGCACUUUCAGCGAGGAGGAAGGGUUCAGUGUUAAUAGCACUGUGCAUUGACGUUACUCGCAGAAGAAGCACCGGCUAACUCCGUGCCAGCAGCCGCGGUAAUACGGAGGGUGCAAGCGUUAAUCGGAAUUACUGGGCGUAAAGCGCACGCAGGCGGUUUGUUAAGUCAGAUGUGAAAUCCCCGCGCUUAACGUGGGAACUGCAUUUGAAACUGGCAAGCUAGAGUCUUGUAGAGG